Molecule: ribosomal RNA, 234 nt
Filed under: uncultured bacterium
Lineage: Bacteria
Description: partial 16S ribosomal RNA
Rfam family: Bacterial small subunit ribosomal RNA
Source: RNAcentral
GGGUGUGGAACACGUGAGCGACCUGCCCUGGAGUGGGGGAUAGCCGGCCCAACGGCCGGGUAAUACCGCAUACGGCCUGCCCUGUUGGAGGGCGAGGCGAAGCCUUCGGAAGGAGGGCUCUGGGAGGGGCUCGCGGCCUAUCAGCUAGUUGGGGGGGUAACGGCUUCCCAAGGCGAUGACGGGUAGCUGGUCUGAGAGGAUGGCCAGCCACAUUGGGACUGAGAGACGGCCCAG